Paramacrobiotus metropolitanus is the source of this 1031-nucleotide long non-coding RNA. RefSeq lists it as uncharacterized. The record is from RefSeq and is a predicted model, not a curated record. The transcript has 4 exons. NCBI's taxonomy places the organism in Eukaryota, Metazoa, Tardigrada, Eutardigrada, Parachela, Macrobiotidae.
CCAGUGUAGUAAAAGUGUGGGAAAGAUAAUAAAAGAAGUGCGUCGUCGUUGGAUAUUUUGAAGGAUUAUCAGAACGGAGUUCAACUCACCCUACAGAUCGAAGUCGAACUCCGAGCAUGAUGGACGUCAGGGAUACAGGUUGCCCCUUUUCUUGCGACGCUGAAAAUGCCUACAGAUUCUGGAUUGAUGAAGUGGAAAAAGUCUGCACGACAGCGGUACUCAAGAAACAAAGCGAUAUCGUGGACAAAAGUUAUGCCUAUUUGCAAGCAAGACACAAAGAAAUAAAGCUGUUAAUGGAUCGUUUAUCGGGUGAUCGGGGCACGACCCACCUCAGUCCGACGGAGUCUUUGGGAACGCGGCAAAAUAGCUCCUCUAAUCCCGACGGCACAUGCUCAUCGGGGGCGUCAAACAUUGCUACUUUAAGUCGACAUAUUUCGGUCGCUGCAAGUAACCGGUCUUGGAGGCAGCAGGAUAACGGCAACCCGGAGGAUCAGGUUCGUGACAAAAAUCACCAAAGUUAGGUUUACGUUUAACUGCUAUAAAAAUCAGGUACAGGCGCUGCAUACAACCUUGACACCACCGUUCGCUCCAAAUAGGUACCACCUUUUUACCACCUUUGGCUUCUAAUUCUCCAUUUUGCACACCACCUUUGACUCCGCAUACCACCAUAAAUUUUUUAGGCUUUAAAAAAAUAAUAGAUUAGAGAUGUUGUACGAUAUUUCAUAAACGUUGAAGGCUAAGAAACGUACGAGUAAAAGAUUUUGUGUUACCUGAUCAAAUUGCGGUAAAAACAGGGAUAUAGGCGCACAGGGAGUGGUACUGCAUCGCAGCCUCGACUCUAAGCUAACUGACCAAGCCAAGGUAGAACUUUGGAAGUUUUACGGCUGAAAUGAGCCAGACGAGCAGCUGCGGGUCCGAUACGAGAAUGCGCAGAAUAAAAAAAGGUUGUUAGUAGUUACUCCUGACCAUUUACUGUGGACUUUAGAAUGCUUUGAGAAAAAAACGGCUUCCAUAAAAAAGACGCCCUGGAC